UGGAGCUGACUGUGUUUUCUGCAGGAGGAGUGUUUCCUCAACUUGGAGGCUCCCAUCAGCAGGGUUUGUGGGUAUGAUACGCCCUUCCCUCACAUCUUUGAGCCCUUCUACAUCCCUGACAAGUGGAAGUGCUUUGAGGCUGUGAAGCGUAUGAUCAACUUCUAAAGCACAGGCGACACAGAUCAAGAACUCGUCCUCUUCUACAUCAGUGAACAAACCAGUCAAUAACACCAUCACAGCUAACUAGGUUUCUACCUGUAGAUGGGACCAUGUUAAUGGACAGGCUGUCAUUUUUGGGAAACGUCCUUGAUCAUGUGUCUAGAAGAUGAAACGUGGUUUCUAAACACUAACAUGUGGACAUCACACGGGUGCUGUGAUCUUCUGUCUGUACUCUCGCUGUUACCUGGAUGUCACCAUCUUCCGUUUAGUUUUUUGUUAUUAAACUUAAUUGAGGCCGGAUCUUGUGUGUUACUGUUUUAUUGGUGAGUUACUGAAUGUACCAUCCUGUUUCUUAAAUCUUUGAUUUAAUUGAAUAAAUCAUCUCUGUUCAAAAA
Molecule: long non-coding RNA, 554 nt
Organism: Sinocyclocheilus rhinocerous
Lineage: Eukaryota; Metazoa; Chordata; Actinopteri; Cypriniformes; Cyprinidae
Exons: 2
Source: RefSeq, a predicted model, not a curated record